Molecule: non-coding RNA, 126 nt
Organism: Rhypophila decipiens
Lineage: Eukaryota; Fungi; Ascomycota; Sordariomycetes; Sordariales; Naviculisporaceae
Source: the annotation of a GenBank genome assembly
GGUUGUGUAGUGUAGUGGUUAUCACUUCAGAUUUUGAGUUAAGAUGUCUACCUUCUCUCCCAAGAAAAGGAAAAACAUUGUCUCUCAUACCUUCUGAUAACCCCGGUUCGAACCCGGGCACGACCU